CCUACGGGGCGCAGCAGUGGGGAAUAUUGCACAAUGGGGGAAACCCUGAUGCAGCGACGCCGCGUGAGCGAGGAAGUAUUUCGGUAUGUAAAGCUCUGUCAGCAGGGAAGAAGAAUGACGGUACCUGAAGAAGAAGCACCGGCUAAAUACGUGCCAGCAGCCGCGGUAAUACGUAUGGUGCAAGCGUUAUCCGGAUUUACUGGGUGUAAAGGGAGCGCAGGCGGUCUGUUAAGUAAGCGGUCAAAGCCCGGGGCUCAACCCCGGCCCGCCGUUGAACCUGGCAGUCUCGAGUUGGGGA
RNAcentral lists this ribosomal RNA (298 nucleotides) under uncultured bacterium. RNAcentral's name for it is "partial 16S ribosomal RNA". It matches the Rfam family "Bacterial small subunit ribosomal RNA", at positions 338 to 653 of the family's 1533-position model. The record is from RNAcentral.